AUUGAACGCUGGCGGCAUGCUUUACACAUGCAAGUCGAACGGUAACAGGCCGCAAGGUGCUGACGAGUGGCGAACGGGUGAGUAAUGCAUCGGAACGUGCCCAGUCGUGGGGGAUAACGCAGCGAAAGCUGCGCUAAUACCGCAUACGAUCUAUGGAUGAAGGCGGGGGACCGUAAGGCCUCGCGCGAUUGGAGCGGCCGAUGUCAGAUUAGGUAGUUGGUGAGGUAAAGGCUCACCAAGCCAACGAUCUGUAGCUGGUCUGAGAGGACGACCAGCCACACUGGGACUGAGACACGGCCCAGACUCCUACGGGAGGCAGCAGUGGGGAAGUUUGGACAAUGGGCGCAAGCCUGAUCCAGCAAUGCCGCGUGCAGGAAGAAGGCCUUCGGGUUGUAAACUGCUUUUGUACGGAACGAAACGGUCCGGGUUAAUACCCUGGGCUAAUGACGGUACCGUAAGAAUAAGCACCGGCUAACUACGUGCCAGCCGCCGCCGUAA
RNAcentral lists this ribosomal RNA (498 nucleotides) under uncultured bacterium. Its description in RNAcentral is "partial 16S ribosomal RNA". It matches the Rfam family "Bacterial small subunit ribosomal RNA", at positions 29 to 523 of the family's 1533-position model. The record is from RNAcentral.